GACGAACGCUGGCGGCGUGCUUAACACAUGCAAGUCGAACGCUGAAGACCUGGCUUUUGUUGGGUUGGAUGAGUGGCGAACGGGUGAGUAACACGUGAGUAACCUGCCCUCUUCUUUGGGAUAACGCCCGGAAACGGGUGCUAAUACUGGAUAUUCACUGAUCUUCGCAUGGGGGUUGGUGGAAAGGUUUGUUCUGGUGGGGGAUGGGCUCGCGGCCUAUCAGCUUGUUGGUGGGGUGAUGGCCUACCAAGGCUUUGACGGGUAGCCGGCCUGAGAGGGUGACCGGUCACAUUGGGACUGAGAUACGGCCCAGACUCCUACGGGAGGCAGCAGUGGGGAAUAUUGCACAAUGGGCGAAAGCCUGAUGCAGCGACGCCGCGUAAGGGAUGGAGGCCUUCGGGUUGUAAACCUCUUUCGCUCAUGGUCAAGCCGCAACUGUGGGUUGUGGUGAGGGUAGUGGGUAAAGAAGCGCCGGCUAACUACGUG
This 486-nucleotide ribosomal RNA is filed under the name uncultured bacterium. Its description in RNAcentral is "partial 16S ribosomal RNA". It matches the Rfam family "Bacterial small subunit ribosomal RNA", at positions 28 to 507 of the family's 1533-position model. The record is from RNAcentral.